Molecule: transfer RNA, 71 nt
Filed under: Loxodonta africana (African savanna elephant)
Lineage: Eukaryota; Metazoa; Chordata; Mammalia; Proboscidea; Elephantidae
Rfam family: tRNA
About the family: Transfer RNA (tRNA) molecules are approximately 80 nucleotides in length.
Source: Rfam by way of RNAcentral
GCAGUGGUGGUUCAGUGGUAGAAUUCUCACCUUUUAGGCAGGAGACUUGAGUUUGAAUCCCUACCAGCGCA